This 358-nucleotide unclassified non-coding RNA is filed under the name soil metagenome. RNAcentral describes it as "partial contains 5.8S ribosomal RNA, internal transcribed spacer 2, and large subunit ribosomal RNA". The stretch from base 1 to 120 matches the Rfam family "5.8S ribosomal RNA", at positions 35 to 154 of the family's 154-position model. The record is from RNAcentral.
GAUGAAGAACGCAGCGAAAUGCGAUAAGUAAUGUGAAUUGCAGAAUUCAGUGAAUCAUCGAAUAUUUGAACGCACAUUGCGCCCGUCAGUAUUCUGGCGGGCAUGCCUGUUCGAGCGUCAUUACGCCCCUCAAGUCCCCUGUGGACUUGGUGUUGGGGAUCGGCGAGGCUGGUUUUCCAGCACAGCCGUCCCUUAAAUUAAUUGGCGGUCUCGCCGUGGCCCUCCUCUGCGCAGUAGUAAAACACUCGCAACAGGAGCCCGGCGCGGUCCACUGCCGUAAAACCCCCCAACUUUUUAUAGUUGACCUCGAAUCAGGUAGGACUACCCGCUGAACUUAAGCAUAUCAAUAAGCGGAGGA